This 30-nucleotide non-coding RNA is filed under the name Mus musculus (house mouse). Lineage: Eukaryota; Metazoa; Chordata; Mammalia; Rodentia; Muridae. The record is from RNAcentral.
UGGAAUAUUCUCCACACGUCUUAAAUGAGU